Molecule: long non-coding RNA, 1569 nt
Filed under: Nicotiana tabacum (common tobacco)
Lineage: Eukaryota; Viridiplantae; Streptophyta; Magnoliopsida; Solanales; Solanaceae
Description: long non-coding RNA (NTAB_LNC006386)
Source: RNAcentral
UCAACUUUCCUGUACAGUAAUAGAGUUCUAGAAUCUACAAAUUAUUUAUCUUUCAAAUCCAAUCAAUCCUACUACUAUCCGAUCAUUCUCUUUUAGACCAUAACUAAGUUACAAGAACCUAUAGUGAAAACGGGAUUAAAUAUUGGGUGAUAUAACUACAACAUAAAGUGUUGUAAUAUGCAAUUUAAUGUCCACAUAUUUCCUCUCUGUGUAGCUCUUGUGAGAAAGUUAACUUGGUACACAUAGUAUGCUGUCUUUUCUUUUUAUACAAAGAUGCAAAUACAUGAUUAGUGAAGAGAGGGCUACUCUCAUGUACAGUUUUGCUGCUAUGAACAGUUAAGCUAGAAAAAAAAGGAGUAAAUGAACUCUGAUAUAUUUAUACAAACACAUCAUCAUAUGAAACUACUUUUAACCUCGUAAACUUCCUUGGAAGUUUUCAAAAGUAAAAUAGCGAGCCAUGUACUUUAACUUUAAGCUCUAAUUAGCCUUGUAACCCAUAGGAGAACUUUCUUCUCCAAAACAGUGGAAUAUUACAAUAGCUUCCUCAAAAUAUUGCAGCUUCCUCUUAUUGUUUUUUACCUGUGUGAAUGUGCCUCGGCCCGGGAAGGGUAGGGAGAGUGGCCGAGUGGUUAAAAGCGGCAUACUGUAAAUCUGUUGAAGUGUGGUUAAAUUUCAAGGAGAAGAAAACAUCAAUACACAAGCGUCCUAUUAGAUUCCUUAAAAUCACUUUUUUGUCCCACUGUCCCAAGCUUCCAACAAAAAGCAUAGCUCAAUAUUUGCCUCAACUCAAUAUAUACUGCAUAAAAACAUAUUAAAGAUAAUGAAGAACAAUAGACAUUUAACACAAUUAGUUUAAAUUUAACUUGAAUUCUAUAAGAAUCGAUCAUUAUAUAUUUAAAUGCCAAACACCCAAAAAUACCUAAACACAUGAUAAUCCAGCAAACAAAAAUUGCAACAGACAAUAAGUCCUCAUGCAAGUUAUUUUUUCUCUUGUUUAAAAUUUUGAAUACAAAGAUACAUCAUACACUAACCAAACAUGAAAGAAAAUGACAAGUUUAAACUAAGAAAGAGGAUAUUUACCUCAAGGAUUGGGACAAUGAAGAUAAAGAAUAGGAUUUUUAUCUAUGGAGGGACAAGGAAGAAAAGGAAGGAGAUGAUAAGGGGCAUGCAAUAUGUAAGAAAAGAUGAGACUUACUGUGGCGUGGAGGAAAUAAGAGGAAGAGAAAGCGACGUUUGCUUAAGAAUAAGGGGAAAAGUAAGAGGUGUGACUUAUAAAGGAUUAAAAAGAGGAGUGUCUUUUGAAGGAAGAGAAAGAGCAUGUAGAUAAUGGCGAAAAGGCAAGAUUUGAGAAAAUUGAACAACAGAUUUCCUAAUUUACAGUAUUGAUGGGAAGAAAAGUAUUUUUCUGAUCAUUAGACUUUUGCUGCUAAGAAUAAAUAUGUCGCUCAUCAAGCUGAACACAAAAGAGUACAUCAGGACAAAAGUAAUAAUACUGAUAUAGCAAGAAUCUAUAUAUAAUCAAAUGAAAAUAAGAACGCAUUAUAAUUUUGAUGGGAAAAGAAUCUAUUU